AAUGGAAUAGUUCAGUAGAUAGAACGUUGGGGUCAUAAUCCAAAUGCCGCAGGUUUAAGUCCUGCUUUCAUUA
RNAcentral lists this transfer RNA (73 nucleotides) under Asterionella formosa. Its description in RNAcentral is "tRNA-Met". It matches the Rfam family "tRNA". From Rfam's summary of the family: Transfer RNA (tRNA) molecules are approximately 80 nucleotides in length. Their secondary structure includes four short double-helical elements and three loops (D, anti-codon, and T loops). The record is from RNAcentral. Lineage: Eukaryota; Bacillariophyta; Fragilariophyceae; Tabellariales; Tabellariaceae.